UGUUCUGGAACAAGCUCCGGGGGGGGGGCUCACUCCCAGCAGGACUCUUGAAGGAGCCACACAGAAUGUCAGAAUUGUCAACUGCACAGAGGGACAUUUACCCACUGGUUCCUGCCCUCCAGUGCUCAAGGAUGAGCUCCCUCAGACCUCCCGGUGUGGACGUGCCCCAAGAGGCUGUGCAAGAAGCCCUGGACAGAAAGUGACAUUUGGAGCAGCUCAGGUGCCCUUGGGCUAUGCGCACAGCUGGCUGGCUGCAGUGACAAGCAAAGCAGAAAGGUCAACCCAGAUGAAGAAGCCUGCCCCGCGGCUCAGGAAGGGGAUCCCCAGGGCCCGGAGCUCUCCUGCCACAUAGGCGUGGGCGGCCUUGAGCCGGGCACGGUUCUCAGUCUAAACGCUGAUGAGAAAACUGCCAUGAGCUGCCAGGACGCUUCUUCCACCUGGACGAUGGGGAUGAUGGGAAGACUCAAUAUCCCGC
Molecule: long non-coding RNA, 475 nt
Organism: Hyaena hyaena (striped hyena)
Lineage: Eukaryota; Metazoa; Chordata; Mammalia; Carnivora; Hyaenidae
Exons: 3
Source: RefSeq, a predicted model, not a curated record